This 415-nucleotide ribosomal RNA is filed under the name uncultured Bacillota bacterium. RNAcentral describes it as "bacterial SSU rRNA". It matches the Rfam family "Bacterial small subunit ribosomal RNA", at positions 1019 to 1436 of the family's 1533-position model. The record is from RNAcentral. Lineage: Bacteria; Bacillati; Bacillota.
UUCGGGGACCGAAUGACAGGUGGUGCAUGGUUGUCGUCUGCUCGUGUCGUGAGAUGUUGGGUUAAGUCCCGCAACGAGCACAACCCUUGUCCUUAGUUGCCAGCAUUAAGUUGGGCACUCUAAGGAGACUGCCGGUGACAAACCGGAGGAAGGUGGGGAUGACGUCAAAUCAUCAUGCCCCUUAUGACCUGGGCUACACACGUGCUACAAUGGAUGGUACAAAGGGCAGCAAAACCGCGAGGUCGAGCAAAUCCAUAAAGCCAUUCUCAGUUCGGAUUGUAGGCUGCAACUCGCCUACAUGAAGCCGGAAUCGCUAGUAAUCGCGGAUCAGCAUGCCGCGGUGAAUACGUUCCCGGGCCUUGUACACACCGCCCGUCACACCACGAGAGUUGGCAACACCCGAAGUCGGUGAGGU